AUUGAACGCUGGCGGCAGGCCUAACACAUGCAAGUCGAACGGUAACAGGAAACAGCUUGCUGUUUCGCUGACGAGUGGCGGACGGGUGAGUAAUGUCAGGGAAACUGCCUGAUGGAGGGGGAUAACUACUGGAAACGGUAGCUAAUACCGCAUAACGUCGCAAGACCAAAGAGGGGGACCUUCGGGCCUCUUGCCAUCGGAUGUGCCCAGAUGGGAUUAGCUAGUAGGUGGGGUAACGGCUCACCUAGGCGACGAUCCCUAGCUGGUCUGAGAGGAUGACCAGCCACACUGGAACUGAGACACGGUCCAGACUCCUACGGGAGGCAGCAGUGGGGAAUAUUGCACAAUGGGCGCAAGCCUGAUGCAGCCAUGCCGCGUGUAUGAAGAAGGCCUUCGGGUUGUAAAGUACUUUCAGCGGGGAGGAAGGGAGUAAAGUUAAUACCUUUACUCAUUGACGUUACCCGCAGAAGAAGCACCGGCUAACUCCGUG
This 490-nucleotide ribosomal RNA is filed under the name uncultured bacterium. RNAcentral describes it as "partial 16S ribosomal RNA". It matches the Rfam family "Bacterial small subunit ribosomal RNA", at positions 30 to 507 of the family's 1533-position model. The record is from RNAcentral.